UCUUAGCUUAGUUGGUAGAGCACCCGCUUAGUAAGCGGGAGGUCGUCGGUUCGACUCCGGCAGAA
Molecule: transfer RNA, 65 nt
Filed under: Perkinsus olseni
Lineage: Eukaryota; Perkinsozoa; Perkinsida; Perkinsidae
Description: tRNA-Thr
Rfam family: tRNA
About the family: Transfer RNA (tRNA) molecules are approximately 80 nucleotides in length. Their secondary structure includes four short double-helical elements and three loops (D, anti-codon, and T loops). Further hydrogen bonds mediate the characteristic L-shaped molecular structure. tRNAs have two regions of fundamental functional importance: the anti-codon, which is responsible for specific mRNA codon recognition, and the 3' end, to which the tRNAs corresponding amino acid is attached (by aminoacyl-tRNA synthetases). tRNAs cope with the degeneracy of the genetic code in two manners: having more than one tRNA (with a specific anti-codon) for a particular amino acid; and 'wobble' base-pairing, i.e. permitting non-standard base-pairing at the 3rd anti-codon position.
Source: RNAcentral